GGUGAGGAUGAGCUAUCCAUGUUGUUGAGGUUUAGUUGAUCCUAAGUCCCUGUCUAAGGGAGAACCUACUUGGGAUCACUACAUUCAUUUUUGAAAUUACCGGAAAUCUCUGAGCU
Non-coding RNA from Ricinus communis (castor bean), 116 nucleotides. Lineage: Eukaryota; Viridiplantae; Streptophyta; Magnoliopsida; Malpighiales; Euphorbiaceae. The record is from Rfam.